Molecule: ribosomal RNA, 468 nt
Filed under: Triticum aestivum (bread wheat)
Lineage: Eukaryota; Viridiplantae; Streptophyta; Magnoliopsida; Poales; Poaceae
Description: partial small subunit ribosomal RNA
Source: RNAcentral
GUAGGGACCAUGGUCUCAGGGGCGCAUAACAACCGUGCGGAGUACGACAAGUCUUUCCAUGAAGCGCGCCGGGAGAUCAACUUGAAGGUGCAAAAGGAUCGCGCUGAGGUAGAUAAGAAACUCAAAAAAGAACGUUCAUACGUGGACAGGAUGAUAAAGGAGGAGCAUGAGGAGUUUUCCCGUAAGAUGGCGAAGAUGCGUCUUGAGAUUGAAGAAAAGUAUAAGCGGGACCGUGAGGACAUGGAAAAAAAGUUUUUCCUUGGCUACAAGGAAAUGCAUCAAACGUUGCAAAAGGACCGGAAGCUUGUGGACAGUAUUAUACAGAUGGAGCGAGUUAGGAUGGAUGCCUAUGUGCUGCAGGCACGUGCUGAUAUGGACAGUAAGAUGCUACAGGAGCGAUCGGACAUGGAUUAUAAGGCCAUGUUGGAGAAGGUUCGCUUGGAAGGACAUAUGUUAGAAGACCGUGCU